RNAcentral lists this ribosomal RNA (478 nucleotides) under uncultured bacterium. RNAcentral's name for it is "partial 16S ribosomal RNA". It matches the Rfam family "Bacterial small subunit ribosomal RNA", at positions 28 to 507 of the family's 1533-position model. The record is from RNAcentral.
GAUGAACGCUGGCGGCGUGCUUAACACAUGCAAGUCGAACGGGAAACCUUUUAUUGAAGCUUCGGCAGAUUUAGCUGGUUUCUAGUGGCGGACGGGUGAGUAACGCGUGGGUAACCUGCCUUAUACAGGGGGAUAACAACCAGAAAUGGUUGCUAAUACCGCAUAAGCGCACAGGACCGCAUGGUCCUGUGUGAAAAACUCCGGUGGUAUAAGAUGGACCCGCGUUGGAUUAGCUAGUUGGCAGGGUAACGGCCUACCAAGGCGACGAUCCAUAGCCGGCCUGAGAGGGUGAGCGGCCACAUUGGGACUGAGACACGGCCCAGACUCCUACGGGAGGCAGCAGUGGGGAAUAUUGCACCAUGGGGGAAACCCUGAUGCAGCGACGCCGCGUGAAGGAAGAAGUAUCUCGGUAUGUAAACUUCUAUCAGCAGGGAAGAUAGUGACGGUACCUGACUAAGAAGCCCCGGCUAACUACGUG